RNAcentral lists this long non-coding RNA (246 nucleotides) under Elaeis guineensis (African oil palm). RNAcentral's name for it is "long non-coding RNA (EGUI_LNC025840)". The record is from RNAcentral. Lineage: Eukaryota; Viridiplantae; Streptophyta; Magnoliopsida; Arecales; Arecaceae.
AAUGGGACAGGAUCCACCAGUCAGGUCGCUACUCUGAGCUUCCACGGCAAUCGAUCUUCGAUCGAGCUUUUACAAUAAGCGACCUCCUUUCAGCCUUCUGCAAGAAUCGGACUCCAUCCGAACUUCCAUAACGGAUGGAUUUCGGAUGAGCUUCUACAACAGACGGGCUCCAGUAGCUGGAUUUUUACAACGGUCGAUCGUCUCUGGUGUCUGCCGAACCUCCCCAGCCAUCAACCUUCAAUAGCG